UUGUUCCCGGUGUCUCUCUUCGUCUGUCUUCUCCCGUUCUCCGUCUUUUGCGACUCGUUCUUGUUUCGUUUUCUUCUUUUCAAAUAAAUCUUGUGAUUUUCGCUUCUUCUCGCAUGUUUCGUCGAGGCUGCGAACUGGUGCUACUUCAAUAUCCAAAGAGGGCAAAGUGUCUAAUGUUCAUUUUUUAGUCCCGCAUCGUCAGUUACACAUAGAUUUUGAUACACUUAGAGAUUUGUCGCGAAGCUUGAGUCGUCUCUUCGGAGACAUCCGAUAAAAUUGGAACGAUACAGAGAAGAUUAGCAUGGCCCCUGCGCAAGGAUGACACGCAUAAAUCGAGAAAUGGUCCAAAUUUUUUUCUUCAAAUGGAGCAGCAAAGUCUAAUUGGAAUAUGGAAGGAGUGGAUUGUGUGCUUAAGGAUCAUAUUACUUUUCUCAAAUCUGGAGCAUGUAACAGUUCAAAAACAAUUAUUUGUUGACGUUCAGUAGCAAUCUUAUUGGAUGCUUUGCAUGGCCAUGGGAAUGAGACAACUUUGAAGUACACAACCUGUGACCUGGAUACAUAGAACACUAUUGAGGCGGUUCUGGAAUGGGCGCACAUGUCGGUAUGUGAUCGAGCAUGCAGUCAAGAUGAGCUAAACCACCAGUUUAGCUGUUUAGGUCACAAUUGUUUGUUAUGACUCUAUCGCCAAAAGUAUCUCAGUUUUCAUGGUCUAACUAUACAGUUGGAAAGGCUUAUAGUCAUGAAUUGUACAUUACUAUAAGUUAAUAUAAUUUACACCGAUAGCAUCGCA
Molecule: long non-coding RNA, 790 nt
Organism: Zingiber officinale
Lineage: Eukaryota; Viridiplantae; Streptophyta; Magnoliopsida; Zingiberales; Zingiberaceae
Exons: 3
Source: RefSeq, a predicted model, not a curated record